This 253-nucleotide ribosomal RNA is filed under the name uncultured bacterium. RNAcentral's name for it is "partial 16S ribosomal RNA". It matches the Rfam family "Bacterial small subunit ribosomal RNA", at positions 524 to 776 of the family's 1533-position model. The record is from RNAcentral.
UACGAAGGGGGCUAGCGUUGUUCGGAUUUACUGGGCGUAAAGCGCACGUAGGCGGAUCGUUAAGUCAGGGGUGAAAUCCCGGAGCUCAACUCCGGAACUGCCUUUGAAACUGCAGUGCUAGAAUCUUGGAGAGGCGAGUGGAAUUCCGAGUGUAGAGGUGAAAUUCGUAGAUAUUCGGAAGAACACCAGUGGCGAAGGCGACUCGCUAGACAAGUAUUGACGCUGAGGUGCGAAAGCGUGGGGAGCAAACAGG